RNAcentral lists this ribosomal RNA (377 nucleotides) under uncultured Fusibacter sp. RNAcentral's name for it is "bacterial SSU rRNA". It matches the Rfam family "Bacterial small subunit ribosomal RNA", at positions 1003 to 1382 of the family's 1533-position model. Lineage: Bacteria; Bacillati; Bacillota; Clostridia; Eubacteriales; Fusibacteraceae. The record is from RNAcentral.
UAGAUUUUGUCCUUCGGGUUACGAAUUGAGACAGGUGGUGCAUGGUUGUCGUCAGCUCGUGUCGUGAGAUGUGGGUUAAGUCCCGCAACGAGCGCAACCCUUGUGUUAGUUGCAAACAGGUCAAGCUGUGCACUCUAGACAGACUGCCGUGGACAACACGGAGGAAGGUGGGGAUGACGUCAAAUCAUCAUGCCCCUUAUGAUCUGGGCUACACACGUGCUACAAUGGCCGGUACAACGGGCAGCGAAGGAGCGAUCCGGAGCGAAUCCUAAAAAGCCGGUCCCAGUUCGGAUUGCAGGCUGAAACUCGCCUACAUGAAGUUGGAGUUGCUAGUAAUCGCGAAUCAGAAUGUCGCGGUGAAUGCGUUCCCGGGUCUU